Molecule: non-coding RNA, 97 nt
Organism: Vicugna pacos (alpaca)
Lineage: Eukaryota; Metazoa; Chordata; Mammalia; Artiodactyla; Camelidae
Source: RefSeq, a predicted model, not a curated record
UGUUGCCUGUUUAUAAAUGGAGGGAGAGAGGGGACACUAAUGUAAUAACUGGACUGUGGAGUGACUAUUAUAUGGUAGAGGCAAAGCAAACACCUUU